UGGGGGAUCGUCUAAUGGUAGGACUGCAGACUUUGGAUCUGCUAAUCUAGGUUCGAUUCCUAGUCCCCCAGCCA
Molecule: transfer RNA, 74 nt
Filed under: Nitrospirota bacterium
Lineage: Bacteria; Pseudomonadati; Nitrospirota
Also listed under: 1 other name
Description: Nitrospirae bacterium tRNA-Gln
Rfam family: tRNA
About the family: Transfer RNA (tRNA) molecules are approximately 80 nucleotides in length. Their secondary structure includes four short double-helical elements and three loops (D, anti-codon, and T loops).
Source: RNAcentral